GAUGCUGGGACAACGAUUGACCAUCCCAUCAUGUGGAUCGACGCUGGGACCAGGAUUAACAUCCAUCAGCUGGAUCAACACCUCCUUCUGGACAGGACGACAGCAAUGGGCAGGAACAGGGCAAUGGAGAGGAACAGGACCAUGGCCAUGGAUGAGGAGAAGCCCGCCCAGGCCUCCUCUGCCUCCUCCGCCCCCCGCGGAUGGACCUCAGGCUUCCACAGGAUGGGCAAAGAACCCCCAGGAUCCUGGGCUUCCCAUCGGCCAGACCCACCCAGCUGGAUGGACACUGGGACCAGGAUUAACAUCCCAGCAUGAGGGUAGGGAUCCAUGCUGGGACAAGGAUUAACCAUCCUAUCCUGUGGAUAGAUGCUGGGACAAGGAUUAACCAUCCCAUCAUGUGGAUCGACGCUGG
Pseudopipra pipra is the source of this 412-nucleotide long non-coding RNA. RefSeq lists it as uncharacterized. The record is from RefSeq and is a predicted model, not a curated record. NCBI's taxonomy places the organism in Eukaryota, Metazoa, Chordata, Aves, Passeriformes, Pipridae. The transcript has 2 exons.